This 72-nucleotide transfer RNA is filed under the name Biomphalaria glabrata. It matches the Rfam family "tRNA". From Rfam's summary of the family: Transfer RNA (tRNA) molecules are approximately 80 nucleotides in length. Their secondary structure includes four short double-helical elements and three loops (D, anti-codon, and T loops). Lineage: Eukaryota; Metazoa; Mollusca; Gastropoda; Planorbidae. The record is from Rfam by way of RNAcentral.
GUCCUGGUGGCUGAGCAGUAAAGCGCUUGGCUUCCAAACACGGGGUUCCAGGUUCAAAUCCUGGUGAAGACU